CAGAGGCGUGCCUAAUACUGCAAGUCGAGCGGACAGAUGGGAGCUUGCUCCCUGAUGUUAGCGGCGGACGGGUGAGUAACACGUGGGUAACCUGCCUGUAAGACUGGGAUAACUCCGGGAAACCGGGGCUAAUACCGGAUGGUUGUUUGAACCGCAUGGUUCAAACAUAAAAGGUGGCUUCGGCUACCACUUACAGAUGGACCCGCGGCGCAUUAGCUAGUUGGUGAGGUAACGGCUCACCAAGGCAACGAUGCGUAGCCGACCUGAGAGGGUGAUCGGCCACACUGGGACUGAGACACGGCCCAGACUCCUACGGGAGGCAGCAGUAGGGAAUCUUCCGCAAUGGACGAAAGUCUGACGGAGCAACGCCGCGUGAGUGAUGAAGGUUUUCGGAUCGUAAAGCUCUGUUGUUAGGGAAGAACAAGUACCGUUCGAAUAGGGCGGUACCUUGACGGUACCUAACCAGAAAGCCACGGCUAACUACGUGCCAGCAGCCGCGGUAAUACGUAGGUGGCAAGCGUUGUCCGGAAUUAUUGGGCGUAAAGGGCUCGCAGGCGGUUUCUUAAGUCUGAUGUGAAAGCCCCCGGCUCAACCGGGGAGGGUCAUUGGAAACUGGGGAACUUGAGUGCAGAAGAGGAGAGUGGAAUUCCACGUGUAGCGGUGAAAUGCGUAGAGAUGUGGAGGAACACCAGUGGCGAAGGCGACUCUCUGGUCUGUAACUGACGCUGAGGAGCGAAAGCGUGGGGAGCGAACAGGAUUAGAUACCCUGGUAGUCCACGCCGUAAACGAUGAGUGCUAAGUGUUAGGGGGUUUCCGCCCCUUAGUGCUGCAGCUAACGCAUUAAGCACUCCGCCUGGGGAGUACGGUCGCAAGACUGAAACUCAAAGGAAUUGACGGGGGCCCGCACAAGCGGUGGAACAUGUGGUUUAAUUCGAAGCAACGCGAAGAACCUUACCAGGUCUUGACAUCCUCUGACCAUCCUAGAGAUAGGACGUCCCCUUCGGGGGCAAAAUGACAGGGGGUGCAUGGUUGUCCUCAGCUCGGGCCC
Molecule: ribosomal RNA, 1048 nt
Filed under: Bacillus tequilensis
Lineage: Bacteria; Bacillati; Bacillota; Bacilli; Caryophanales; Bacillaceae
Description: bacterial SSU rRNA
Rfam family: Bacterial small subunit ribosomal RNA
Source: RNAcentral